GACGAACGCUGGCGGCGUGCUUAACACAUGCAAGUCGAACGGAAAGGCCCUGCUUUUGUGGUGUGCUCGAGUGGCGAACGGGUGAGUAACACGUGAGUAACCUGCCCUUGACUUUGGGAUAACUUCAGGAAACUGGGGCUAAUACCGGAUAGGAGCUCCUGCUGCAUGGUGGGGGUUGGAAAGUUUCGGCGGUUGGGGAUGGACUCGCGGCUUAUCAGCUUGUUGGUGGGGUAGUGGCUUACCAAGGCUUUGACGGGUAGCCGGCCUGAGAGGGUGACCGGCAACAUUGGGACUGCGAUUCGGCACGGACUCCUACAGGAGGCAGCAGUGGGGAAUAUUGAACAAUGGGCGGCCGCCUGAUGCCGCAACGCCGCGAGCGGGAUGAAGGCCUUCGGGUUGUCAACCGCUUUCGCCUGUAACGAAGCGUGCGUGACGGUAAUGGGUCAAGAAGCACCGGCUAACUACGUG
Molecule: ribosomal RNA, 468 nt
Filed under: uncultured bacterium
Lineage: Bacteria
Description: partial 16S ribosomal RNA
Rfam family: Bacterial small subunit ribosomal RNA
Source: RNAcentral